Molecule: ribosomal RNA, 486 nt
Filed under: uncultured bacterium
Lineage: Bacteria
Description: bacterial SSU rRNA
Rfam family: Bacterial small subunit ribosomal RNA
Source: RNAcentral
AGAGUUUGAUCCUGGCUCAGAAUCAACGCUGGCGGCGUGCCUAACACAUGCAAGUCGAACGCGAAGACCCCGCAAGGGGUUGUUAGCGUGGCAAACGGGUGAGUAACGCGUGGGCGACCUACCUCAGAGUGGGGGAUAACCUUCCGAAAGGGAGGCUAAUACCGCAUGACAUGCCUUGUUUAGAUACAGGGACAUCAAAGCCGGGGAUCGUAAGACCUGGCGCUUGGAGAGGGGCCCGCGUCCGAUUAGCUAGUUGGUGGGGUAACGGCCCACCAAGGCUCCGAUCGGUAUCCGGCCUGAGAGGGCGGACGGACACACUGGAACUGAGACACGGUCCAGACUCCUACGGGAGGCAGCAGUGGGGAAUUGUUCGCAAUGGGCGAAAGCCUGACGACGCAACGCCGCGUGGAGGAUGAAGACUUUCGGGUCGUAAACUCCUUUCGACCGAGAUGAAUUUCCUCCGACCUAACACGUCGGAGGGUGACA